This 502-nucleotide ribosomal RNA is filed under the name uncultured bacterium. RNAcentral describes it as "bacterial SSU rRNA". It matches the Rfam family "Bacterial small subunit ribosomal RNA", at positions 10 to 507 of the family's 1533-position model. The record is from RNAcentral.
AGUUUGAUCAUGGCUCAGAUUGAACGCUGGCGGAAUGCUUUACACAUGCAAGUCGAGCGGCAGCGCGGGGGCAACCCUGGCGGCGAGCGGCGAACGGGUGAGUAACAUAUCGGAACGUACCCAGUCGUGGGGGAUAACUAUCCGAAAGGAUAGCUAAUACCGCAUACGUCCUGAGGGAGAAAGCGGGGGAUCGCAAGACCUCGCGCGAUUGGAGCGGCCGAUAUCGGAUUAGCUAGUUGGUGGGGUAAAGGCUCACCAAGGCGACGAUCCGUAGCGGGUCUGAGAGGACGACCCGCCACACUGGAACUGAGACACGGUCCAGACUCCUACGGGAGGCAGCAGUGGGGAAUUUUGGACAAUGGGGGCAACCCUGAUCCAGCCAUUCCGCGUGAGUGAAGAAGGCCUUCGGGUUGUAAAGCUCUUUCAGCAGGAACGAAACGGUGGUCCCUAAUACGGACUACUAAUGACGGUACCUGAAGAAGAAGCACCGGCUAACUCCGUG